RNAcentral lists this ribosomal RNA (430 nucleotides) under uncultured bacterium. RNAcentral's name for it is "partial 16S ribosomal RNA". It matches the Rfam family "Bacterial small subunit ribosomal RNA", at positions 29 to 507 of the family's 1533-position model. The record is from RNAcentral.
AACGAACGCUGGCGGCAGGCUUAACACAUGCAAGUCGAACGCCCCGCAAGGGGAGUGGCGCCCGGGUGAGUAACGCGUGGAUAUCUGCCUUUUGGUUCGGAAUAACCCCGGGAAACUGGGGCUAAUACCGGAUGGUUCCUACGGGAUAAAGAUUAUCGCCAAAAGAUGAGUCCGCGUACGAUUAGCUAGUUGGUGAGGUAAUGGCUCACCAAGGCGACGAUCGUUAGCUGGUCUGAGAGGACGAUCAGCCACACUGGGACUGAGACACGGCCCAGACUCCUACGGGAGGCAGCAGUGGGGAAUAUUGGACAAUGGGGGCAACCCUGAUCCAGCCAUGCCGCGUGAGUGAUGAAGGCCUUCGGGUUGUAAAGCUCUUUUGGCGGGGACGAUGAUGACGGUACCCGCAGAAUAAGCCCCGGCUAACUUCGUG